Salvia hispanica is the source of this 2804-nucleotide non-coding RNA. The record is from RefSeq and is a predicted model, not a curated record. NCBI's taxonomy places the organism in Eukaryota, Viridiplantae, Streptophyta, Magnoliopsida, Lamiales, Lamiaceae.
CCCUAUACCUCUCCUCCUCUGCGUUUGUGGCCAACCAUGAAAAUCACGAUACAAAAAGAUGAGCCGCUGACCGAUUUACCCCGUUUUUUUCUGUAUACAUACAUUAGUUCCCUUUCGAAUCAUGUUGUUUUGCCCAAUUUUGUUGUGUGCAAAUCCUCUCUAAGUCCGAUAUCUACAUCCUGCCGGCGGACUCAAGCUUUGCGGCAGCUACCCGGAAGACUCAAGCUUUGCCGCAGCUAGCAGGCAUACUCAAGCUUUGCAGCAGCUACCCGGCAUUUCAUUGGAAAAUCGACAUGGUUGACGGAGUAAUUGACAAAGAGGCAAAAAAAUAAGAGAAGGCGUCUUACUGGAACAUUUGCGUUGCUCGAUAGAAUUCCUGAACAAGUCCGACACAUGAAUAGAAUGGUUGGUAUCACAGAUAGGACAUGCAUUGAUUAUUUAAGGAUAGACAAAAACACCUUUGGGCGACUAUGUCGCCUCCUUCGAGAUCGGAUUGGCCUUAUAGACCAGAAAUUUGUGAUGUUGGAAGAACAGGUGGCUAUGAUUUUGUACAUAUUGUCUCAUCACGAGAAAACGCGUAUUGUGGGCUUCAACUUUAUGCGGUCUUCUCAGACGGUUUCCCACUAUAUGCAUAUUGUUUUGCAUGGUGUGCUACAACUAUACGAAGUCUUAUUAGUGAAGUCUUGGUGCAUUAGAUGACACCUACACAAAUGUGGUUUAGAAAGGUGGAAAUGGUUUCAGGUUCGCUCAAUGAACUGAAUGCUCAUAUGUAAUUACAUUAGAAUAAUGCUUUAGAAAGUAGAUGUCUUUUUUUACAAUAUUUUCUCGAACACAGGGUUGUCUUGGUGCAUUAGAUGGCACCUACAUAAAUGUUCGAGUGCCACUCGUAGACGUACCGAGGUACCGUACCAGAAAGGGCCAUAUAGCCACGAACACUCUAGCUGUGUGUGACUGAUAUUUGAGAUUUGUAUAUGUGCUUCCGGGAUGGGAGGGUUCGGCUAGUGAUUCGCGCAUCUUGCGUGAUGCACUCAGUCGACUGAUACUGAGAUAUUUUUAAACUGCGUGCACAAUAAGGAAUAGCAAGCUUCCCGGGUCCAGUGAAUCCACUAGAUCACAAGGUCUAAGAACUCACGGAACGCUGAAAGAUCUCGGUCGUUGGACACACAGAAUAUCACUUCAAAACCCUCAACCCGCGUAUACUAGAAUUAGUAUAGGGAAGUAGGGAUCGAUCCCACGAGCACAGAUGCGAAAUCAUGCAUUUAAAGGGCUUUCGGGUGGUAUGGCUGCUGCCACGCAACGUGGGGUUGAGGAACUUAUACUAGACAAAGGAAAAGAAAUUUAACUAUAUCUAGAUCUAAGAAACGGUAAACAAACACGUAACACAACUUGACAUCAUAUCAUCACUAUCUCAAAUCAACUUCCUGGAUCUAGUAAUAUUGCUACCUAAUCUAGCUAGACAGACUCGAUGCAUGCAGUGGGGACCAUUUUUCCAAAAAUAGAAACGUACGACCAAAAAGCUGCAAAUAACCAACUCUAAGCCUAACUACCUACAAAACGCAAGCAUCAUUGGAAUUUAACUGAAACAUGAUGAAAACAGAACAACGCUCGCAACUCAACGGCGACAACAAUUGAACGUCAGAAGAAACGCCGAGAAAACCAACAAAAAAAACUCAGAUCUCUAUCUCCUAGAUGAAGUAAAGCGAAAACGAAAGUAGAAAUUCAGAAUCCAUGCACAAUUCAGUUCCCCUGUUCAGAUCCACACUUCGGAUGCUAAAUCCACUCCGGAUCCAAGCAUUCGAGACAAACUCCGAUCAAAAUCAUCUCCAUAACUACAGAUUCGCCGAUUCUCCACAGAUCAACAACAACAACCACAGAUCAACUCAUAUUUCCCAGAUCAAGUACAUAAAACAUCCAACACAGAGAAUAACAAUCAACCUCCGAAACAAAUAUGCAUGAACUAGGUUCAACUUUUAGGCAACCGUCCCCACAAGAUUAAGGUCAAUCCAACAGGCUGCACUUCUCCAAAUUGGCCCCUUCCCUUCUUCCACCUAAUCAAUCUGUCAGUUCGUCAAGAUAGCCUUUUACUUCCCCAAUUGUUGGAUUCACUCGAUCACUCAUUCCUCACAGGGAUGUUAGGACCGAAUCUCUCAUAAGUUAUUGCCAAACACCGAAGCGUCGGGUUAUGAGAGUUUUCUCCUUUCUACACUUCGUUCCCCCUUUUAUUCCUGGGUCAGGUUACUAUUGCUUCCUGUCCUUAGACAUAUUUCCCCUGGUCUUCGUCCAACUUAUACCUUCAUAACUCAAUUUCCCCUAUUUUUUCUCCUUCAAGACUCUUCUCCCUAAGCAUUCAGUGACAGCCCCAUUUUACAUAUGUUAGCUCAAAAUAUUUUUUUUAGGCUUAUAACUCGCUCUUAUAGUGGGGCUUCACAACUAAGUCAGCUAAGACAUCUUCUAUCGUUCUUACUUCAUCCAGAUUGACCUCGGCUUAUUAAAGGAAAAAGCUUCUAAGUUGAAAUACAUCCUGUCUUCAAUUGCUCUCACUAAGGAGAUCAUGCCGUAUUAUAUUCACCAACUCAUGCGACACAAACAAAACCUAGACUUAACGACUCUUAACAUUUUAAACACAUACAAGCAUUGACUCCCCUCCCCCUCCCACUUCACUCAAACUUGUCCCCAAGCCAUCGUCGUGAAGGGGGGAAACAUGACAGUCAAUCCAACAUACAACAAACAAUAUAACCAAAUAAAACUUCUCCCACUUAGACCGAGCAUCAGGCUAAGUGGGAGAAGACAACAUUAAAACAAAA